Molecule: ribosomal RNA, 254 nt
Filed under: uncultured bacterium
Lineage: Bacteria
Description: partial 16S ribosomal RNA
Rfam family: Bacterial small subunit ribosomal RNA
Source: RNAcentral
UACAGAGGGUGCAAACGUUUGUUCGGAUUUACUGGGCGUAAAGCGCGUGUAGGCUGCUCCGCAAGUCGGAUGUGAAAGCCCUGGGCUCAACCCAGGAAGUGCAUUCGAAACUGCAGAGCUGGAGUCCUGGAGAGGAAGGCGGAAUUCUCGGUGUAGAGGUGAAAUUCGUAGAUAUCGAGAGGAACACCGGUGGCGAAGGCGGCCUUCUGGACAGUGACUGACGCUGAGACGCGAAAGCGUGGGGAGCAAACAGG